GUCUACGGCCAUACCACCCUGAACGCGCCCGAUCUCGUCUGAUCUUGGAAGCUAAGCAGGGUCGAGCCUGAUUAGUACUUGGAUGAGGGAGAUUAAUAAGCAGAUU
RNAcentral lists this ribosomal RNA (106 nucleotides) under Sarcophilus harrisii (Tasmanian devil). The record is from RNAcentral. Lineage: Eukaryota; Metazoa; Chordata; Mammalia; Dasyuromorphia; Dasyuridae.